CCUACGGGCGGCAGCAGUAGGGAAUCUUCGGCAAUGGGGGCAACCCUGACCGAGCAACGCCGCGUGAGUGAAGAAGGUUUUCGGAUCGUAAAGCUCUGUUGUAAGUCAAGAACGAGUGUGAGAGUGGAAAGUUCACACUGUGACGGUAGCUUACCAGAAAGGGACGGCUAACUACGUGCCAGCAGCCGCGGUAAUACGUAGGUCCCGAGCGUUGUCCGGAUUUAUUGGGCGUAAAGCGAGCGCAGGCGGUUAGAUAAGUCUGAAGUUAAAGGCUGUGGCUUAACCAUAGUACGCUUUGGAAACUGUUUAACUUGAGUGCAAGAGGGGAGAGUGGAAUUCCAUGUGUAGCGGUGAAAUGCGUAGAUAUAUGGAGGAACACCGGUGGCGAAAGCGGCUCUCUGGUCUGUAACUGACGCUGAGGCUCGAAAGCGUGGGGAGCGAACAGGAUUAGAUACCCGAGUAGUC
Molecule: ribosomal RNA, 465 nt
Filed under: uncultured Streptococcus sp.
Lineage: Bacteria; Bacillati; Bacillota; Bacilli; Lactobacillales; Streptococcaceae
Description: bacterial SSU rRNA
Rfam family: Bacterial small subunit ribosomal RNA
Source: RNAcentral